CAAGGCGAAGACGGGUAGCCGGCCUGAGAGGGUGAACGGCCACACUGGGACUGAGACACGGCCCAGACUCCUACGGGAGGCAGCAGUGAGGAAUUUUCCGCAAUGGGCGCAAGCCUGACGGAGCGACGCCGCGUGAGGGAUGACGGCCUUCGGGUUGUAAACCUCUUUUAUAAGGGAAAAAGGUUGGCAUGCUAGUACCAUGUCAAUUUGAUGGUACCUUUUGAAUAAGCCCCGGCUAACUACGUGCCAGCAGCCGCGGUAAUACGUAGGGGGCGAGCGUUGUCCGGAGUUACUGGGCGUAAAGAGCGUGUAGGCGGUUGGAAAAGUCAGGUGUGAAAUUCUUCGGCUCAACCGGGGGACUGCGCCUGAAACUUUCCGACUGGAGUUUGGGAGGGGCAACCGGAAUUCCUGGUGUAACGGUGAAAUGUGUAGAUAUCAGGAGGAACACCCGUGGCGAAGGCGGGUUGCUGGACCAAAACUGACGCUGAGACGCGAAAGCGUGGGUAGCAAACAGGAUUAGAUACCCUGGUAGUCCACGCUGUAAACGAUGAGUGCUAGGUGUAGGGGGUAUCGACUCCCUCUGUGCCGCAGUUAAUGCAUUA
This 602-nucleotide ribosomal RNA is filed under the name uncultured bacterium. Its description in RNAcentral is "bacterial SSU rRNA". It matches the Rfam family "Bacterial small subunit ribosomal RNA", at positions 269 to 862 of the family's 1533-position model. The record is from RNAcentral.